RNAcentral lists this ribosomal RNA (254 nucleotides) under uncultured bacterium. RNAcentral describes it as "partial 16S ribosomal RNA". It matches the Rfam family "Bacterial small subunit ribosomal RNA", at positions 524 to 776 of the family's 1533-position model. The record is from RNAcentral.
CACGUAGGGUGCGAGCGUUGUCCGGAAUUAUUGGGCGUAAAGAGCUCGUAGGCGGUGUGUCGCGUCGGCCGUGAAAACCUGCAGCUUAACUGUGGGCUUGCGGUCGAUACGGGCAUCACUGGAGUUCGGCAGGGGAGACUGGAAUUCCUGGUGUAGCGGUGAAAUGCGCAGAUAUCAGGAGGAACACCGGUGGCGAAGGCGGGUCUCUGGACCGAGACUGACGCUGAGGUGCGAAAGCGUGGGGAGCGAACGGG